AUUGAACGCUGGCGGAAUGCUUUACACAUGCAAGUCGAACGGUAGAGGGGGCAACCCCUCGAGAGUGGCGAACGGGUGAGUAAUAUAUCGGAACGUGCCCAGUCGUGGGGGAUAACGUAGCGAAAGUUACGCUAAUACCGCAUACGAUCUAAGGAUGAAAGCGGGGGAUCGCAAGACCUCGCGCGAUUGGAGCGGCCGAUAUCAGAUUAGGUAGUUGGUGGGGUAAAGGCUCACCAAGCCAACGAUCUGUAGCUGGUCUGAGAGGACGACCAGCCACACGGGACGUGAGACACGGUCCAGGCGCCUACGGGAGGAAGCAGUGGGGAAUUUUGAACAAUGGACGCAAGUCGGCUCCAGCCAUUCCGCGUGCAGGAUGAAGGCCCUCGGGUUGUAAACUGCUUUUGUACGGAACGAAAAGGUCUCUCUUAAUACGGGGGACUCAUGACGGUACCGUAAGAAUAAGCACCGGCUAACUACGUGCCAGCCGCCGCCGUAA
This 496-nucleotide ribosomal RNA is filed under the name uncultured bacterium. RNAcentral's name for it is "partial 16S ribosomal RNA". It matches the Rfam family "Bacterial small subunit ribosomal RNA", at positions 30 to 523 of the family's 1533-position model. The record is from RNAcentral.